This 817-nucleotide ribosomal RNA is filed under the name uncultured marine archaeon. RNAcentral's name for it is "bacterial SSU rRNA". It matches the Rfam family "Archaeal small subunit ribosomal RNA", at positions 52 to 874 of the family's 1478-position model. The record is from RNAcentral.
UGCGAGUCGAGAGUCCUCGGGACUCGGCGUACCGCUCAGUAACACGUGGGUAACCUGCCCUAUGCUGGGGAAUAACCUCGGGAAACUGAGAAUAAUGCCCCAUAGCCCACUACGCCUGGAACGGUGAGUGGGUCAAAGCCCCGGCGGCAUAGGAUGGGCCUGCGCCGUAUCAGGUUGUAGGGGGUGUAAAGUACCCUCUAGCCAUCAACGCGUACGGGUGUUGGGAGACAUUGCCCGGAGAUGGAUUCUGAGACACGAAUCCAGACCCUACGGGGUGCAGCAGGCGCGAAAACUUGGCAAUGCGAGAAAUCGUGACCAGGGAACUCCAAGUGCGUAGGGUAAGACCUACGCUUUUCUUGACUCUUCAAAGGUCUUGGAAUAAGGGGUGGGUAAGGACGGUGCCAGCCGCCGCGGUAAUACCGGCGCCUCAAGUGGUAGUCGCUUUUAUUGGGCCUAAAACGUCCGUAGCCGGUCUGAUGCAUUCGUGGGUAAAUCCACCCGCUCAACGGGUUGAAUUCUGCGAGCACGGCCAGACUUGGGACCGGGAGAGGUGUGGGGUACUCUCAGGGUAGGGGGAAAAUCCUGUCAUCCUGAGAGGACCACCUGUUGCGAAGGCGCCCCACUAGAACGGAUCCGACGGUCAGGGACGAAACCUAGGGGCACGAACCGGAUUAGAUACCCGGGUAGUCCUAGGUGUAAACGCUGUGGACUUGAUGUUGGGGGCGCUCCGAGCGCUCUCAGCGUCGAAGCGAAAGUGAUAAGUCCACUGCCUGGGGAGUACGGUCGCAAAGCUGAAACUUAAAAGAAUUGGCGGGGG